RNAcentral lists this ribosomal RNA (1533 nucleotides) under Salmonella enterica subsp. arizonae. RNAcentral's name for it is "bacterial SSU rRNA". It matches the Rfam family "Bacterial small subunit ribosomal RNA". The record is from RNAcentral. Lineage: Bacteria; Pseudomonadati; Pseudomonadota; Gammaproteobacteria; Enterobacterales; Enterobacteriaceae.
AGAGUUUGAUCAUGGCUCAGAUUGAACGCUGGCGGCAGGCCUAACACAUGCAAGUCGAACGGUAACAGGAAGCAGCUUGCUGCUUCGCUGACGAGUGGCGGACGGGUGAGUAAUGUCUGGGAAACUGCCUGAUGGAGGGGGAUAACUACUGGAAACGGUAGCUAAUACCGCAUAAUGUCGCAGGACCAAAGAGGGGGACCUUCGGGCCUCUUGCCAUCAGAUGUGCCCAGAUGGGAUUAGCUUGUUGGUGAGGUAACGGCUCACCAAGGCGACGAUCCCUAGCUGGUCUGAGAGGAUGACCAGCCACACUGGAACUGAGACACGGUCCAGACUCCUACGGGAGGCAGCAGUGGGGAAUAUUGCACAAUGGGCGCAAGCCUGAUGCAGCCAUGCCGCGUGUAUGAAGAAGGCCUUCCGGGUUGUAAAGUACUUUCAGCGGGGAGGAAGGGGAUAAGGCUAAUAACCUUGUUCAUUGACGUUACCCGCAGAAGAAGCACCGGCUAACUCCGUGCCAGCAGCCGCGGUAAUACGGAGGGUGCAAGCGUUAAUCGGAAUUACUGGGCGUAAAGCGCACGCAGGCGGUCUGUCAAGUCGGAUGUGAAAUCCCCGGGCUCAACCUGGGAACUGCAUUCGAAACUGGCAGGCUUGAGUCUUGUAGAGGGGGGUAGAAUUCCAGGUGUAGCGGUGAAAUGCGUAGAGAUCUGGAGGAAUACCGGUGGCGAAGGCGGCCCCCUGGACAAAGACUGACGCUCAGGUGCGAAAGCGUGGGGAGCAAACAGGAUUAGAUACCCUGGUAGUCCACGCCGUAAACGAUGUCUACUUGGAGGUUGUGCCCUUGAGGCGUGGCUUCCGGAGCUAACGCGUUAAGUAGACCGCCUGGGGAGUACGGCCGCAAGGUUAAAACUCAAAUGAAUUGACGGGGGCCCGCACAAGCGGUGGAGCAUGUGGUUUAAUUCGAUGCAACGCGAAGAACCUUACCUGGUCUUGACAUCCACGGAAGUUUUCAGAGAUGAGAAUGUGCCUUCGGGAACCGUGAGACAGGUGCUGCAUGGCUGUCGUCAGCUCGUGUUGUGAAAUGUUGGGUUAAGUCCCGCAACGAGCGCAACCCUUAUCCUUUGUUGCCAGCGGUCCGGCCGGGAACUCAAAGGAGACUGCCAGUGAUAAACUGGAGGAAGGUGGGGAUGACGUCAAGUCAUCAUGGCCCUUACGACCAGGGCUACACACGUGCUACAAUGGCGCAUACAAAGAGAAGCGACCUCGCGAGAGCAAGCGGACCUCAUAAAGUGCGUCGUAGUCCGGACUGGAGUCUGCCAACUCGACUCCAUGAAGUCGGAAUCGCUAGUAAUCGUGGAUCAGAAUGCCACGGUGAAUACGUUCCCGGGCCCUUGUACACACCGCCCGUCACACCAUGGGAGUGGGUUGCAAAAGAAGUAGGUAGCUUAACCUUCGGGAGGGCGCUUACCACUUUGUGAUUCAUGACUGGGGUGAAGUCGUAACAAGGUAACCGUAGGGGAACCUGCGGUUGGAUCACCU